UGGCGGACGGGUGAGUAAUGUCUGGGAAACUGCCUGAUGGAGGGGGAUAACUACUGGAAACGGUAGCUAAUACCGCAUAACGUCGCAAGACCAAAGAGGGGGACCUUAGGGCCUCUUGCCAUCGGAUGUGCCCAGAUGGGAUUAGCUAGUAGGUGGGGUAAAGGCUCACCUAGGCGGCGAUCCCUAGCUGGUCUGAGAGGAUGACCAGCCACACUGGAACUGAGACACGGUCCAG
This 235-nucleotide ribosomal RNA is filed under the name uncultured bacterium. Its description in RNAcentral is "partial 16S ribosomal RNA". It matches the Rfam family "Bacterial small subunit ribosomal RNA", at positions 96 to 334 of the family's 1533-position model. The record is from RNAcentral.